UUGGGAACGCUGAUAAACCCAGAGGCGAAAUGAAAGUGAAAGGCCGGCCUCGAGCCGGUCGCAGGGAAGAUGCGCGGGCGUCGUCAGACGCCCCGCCGCAUUCCCGAGGCGUUUCGAGAAAGCCCCCGUGCGAUUAUCGAGACGCACUGAGAGCGUACACGCUGGGACCCGAAAGAUGGUGAACUAUGCCUGGUCAGGUCGAAGUCAGGGGAAACCCUGAUGGAGGACCGAAGCGAUUCUGACGUGCAAAUCGAUCGUCCGAACUGGGUAUAGGGGCGAAAGACUAAUCGAACUAUCUAAUAGCUGGUUCCAUCCGAAGUUUCCCUCAGGAUAGCUGGCGCUCGAGAAACAUGACGGUUUUCGGACCGCCAUUCGCACAGUCUCAUCCGGUAAAGCGAAUGAUUAGAGGCAUUGGGGCCGAAAUGGCCUCAACCUAUUCUCAAACUUUAAAUGGGUGAGAUCUCCUUCUUGCUCGAAGAUGAAGUAGGAGCUCGGAUGGGAGUGCCAAGUGGGCCAAUUUUGGUAAGCAGAACUGGCGCUGUGGGAUGAACCAAACGUCGAGUUAAGGCGCCCAAUGAACGCUCAUCGGAUACCAUAAAAGGCGUUGGUCGCUCAGGACAGCAGGACGGUGGCCAUGGAAGUCGGA
RNAcentral lists this ribosomal RNA (646 nucleotides) under Allogamus mortoni. RNAcentral describes it as "partial large subunit ribosomal RNA". It matches the Rfam family "Eukaryotic large subunit ribosomal RNA", at positions 694 to 1265 of the family's 3401-position model. Lineage: Eukaryota; Metazoa; Arthropoda; Insecta; Trichoptera; Limnephilidae. The record is from RNAcentral.